AGUGAACGCUGGCGGUAGGCCUAACACAUGCAAGUCGAACGGCAGCACAGUAAGAGCUUGCUCUUACGGGUGGCGAGUGGCGGACGGGUGAGGAAUACAUCGGAUUCUACUUUUUCGUGGGGGAUAACGUAGGGAAACUUACGCUAAUACCGCAUACGACCUACGGGUGAAAGCAGUGGAUCUUCGGACCUUGCGCGAUUGAAUGAGCCGAUGUCGGAUUAGCUAGUUGGCGGGGUAAAGGCCCACCAAGGCGACGAUCCGUAGCUGGUCUGAGAGGAUGAUCAGCCACACUGGAACUGAGACACGGUCCAGACUCCUACGGGAGGCAGCAGUGGGGAAUAUUGGACAAUGGGCGCAAGCCUGAUCCAGCCAUACCGCGUGAGUGAAGAAGGCCUUCGGGUUGUAAAGCCCUUUUGUUGGGAAAGAAAAGCAGCAGGUGAAUACCCCGCUGUUCUGACGGUACCCAAAGAAUAAGCACCGGCUAACUUCGUG
Molecule: ribosomal RNA, 492 nt
Filed under: uncultured bacterium
Lineage: Bacteria
Description: partial 16S ribosomal RNA
Rfam family: Bacterial small subunit ribosomal RNA
Source: RNAcentral